AAAAAGUGUUCUCUAUCAGGCAGGGAGCCCCAGGGUGAUUUUCCAUAGGCGAGUGCCAGCAGUGUGAAGAAAACUGGAAGCCGGAAGCUGGGCAACUACUGUGAUGGCCCACACAAGAAAUAAGGACACAGUGAGGCAGUCCAGAAGAACAGAGCAAAGGAGGCACAGGGGGGAGGCGCUGAGAGGGCAGAAAUGACAGAAUAACCCACUGCAAAGGCUCUAGAAAAGCACUGGAUGUGCUGCUUAAGGUGAACUUACAGAAGGAAAGGAUUCCACACAUCUUUUGUGGAAGCAGAAAGCAAAUAGGAUGGGGAAGGGGAGAGCAACCACAUGAGUCUAUUCAUGGAGACAGAAAGUGGAGCUGUGUUGGAGACAUAGUGAGAAUCCGGGUUCAUCAGAGUCACAGGCCGCUGCGAGAGAAGCCGCCGCCAUGUCUGCGCAUCUGCAAUGGAUGGUCGUGCGGAACUGCUCCAGUUUCCUGAUCAAGAGGAAGAAGUAGACAGACAGCACAGAGCCCAAUAACUUGAAGGCCCGCAACUCCUUCGCUAAAAAGGGCUGAUUCACCGCAAGACUGUGGGCGUGGAGCCUGCAGCCGACAGCAGAGGUGUGGUGGUCAUGAAGCGGAGAUCCAGCCAGCGGAAGCCUGCCACCUCCUAUGUGCGGACCACCAUCAACAAGAAUGCUCACGCCACGCUCAGCAGCAUCAGACACACGAUACUGAAGAACAAGUAUGCCCUGACCUGCGCAUGGCUGCCAU
This 757-nucleotide long non-coding RNA is filed under the name Pan troglodytes (chimpanzee). RNAcentral describes it as "long non-coding RNA NONPTRT014218". Lineage: Eukaryota; Metazoa; Chordata; Mammalia; Primates; Hominidae. The record is from RNAcentral.